This 419-nucleotide ribosomal RNA is filed under the name uncultured bacterium. RNAcentral describes it as "bacterial SSU rRNA". It matches the Rfam family "Bacterial small subunit ribosomal RNA", at positions 355 to 772 of the family's 1533-position model. The record is from RNAcentral.
UGGGGAAUAUUGGACAAUGGGCGCAAGCCUGAUCCAGCCAUGCCGCGUGCAGGAAGAAGGCCUUCUGGGUUGUAAACUGCUUUUGCCGGGGGAUAAAAUUCCCAUGCGUGGGACAUUGAAGGUACCCGGUGAAUAAGCCACGGCUAACUACGUUCCAGCAGCCGCGGUAAUACGUAGGUGGCAAGCGUUGUCCGGAUUUAUUGGGUUUAAAGGGUGCGUAGGCGGCCUAUUAAGUCAGUGCUGAAAUAUCCCGGCUUAACCGGGAGGGUGGCAUUGAUACUGAUGGGCUUGAGUAGAGUCGAGGUAGGCGGAAUUGACGGUGUAGCGGUGAAAUGCUUAGAUAUCGUCAAGAACACCGAUAGUGUAGACAGCUUACUAGACUCAAACUGACGCUGAGGCACGAAAGUGUGGGGAUCAAA